GGUUGCUCUGGUUGCUCUAGACAGCAGGACGGUGGCCAUGGAAGUCGGAAUCCGCUAAGGAGUGUGUAACAACUCACCUGCCGAAGCAACUAGCCCUGAAAAUGGAUGGCGCUCCA
Molecule: ribosomal RNA, 116 nt
Filed under: Stegodyphus mimosarum
Lineage: Eukaryota; Metazoa; Arthropoda; Arachnida; Araneae; Eresidae
Description: eukaryotic large subunit ribosomal RNA
Rfam family: Eukaryotic large subunit ribosomal RNA
Source: RNAcentral